Molecule: long non-coding RNA, 1065 nt
Organism: Oncorhynchus keta (chum salmon)
Lineage: Eukaryota; Metazoa; Chordata; Actinopteri; Salmoniformes; Salmonidae
Exons: 6
Source: RefSeq, a predicted model, not a curated record
GUGUAGUGUUAUAUUGUCUACUAUAUACAGGUCAGGUGUAGUGUUAUAUUGUCUACUAUAUACAGGCCAGGUGUAGUGUUAUAUUGUCUACUAUAUACAGGCCAGGUGUAGUGUUAUAUUGUCUACUAUAUACAGGCCAGGUGUAGUGUUGUAUUGUCUACUAUAUACAGGUCAGGUGUAGUGUUAUAUUGUCUACUAUAUACAGGCCAGGUGUAGUGUUGUAUUGUCUACUAUAUACAGGUCAGGUGUAGUGUUAUAUUGUCUACUAUAUACAGGCCAGGUGUAGUGUUAUAUUGUCUACUAUAUACAGGUCAGGUGUAGUGUUAUAUUGUCUACUAUAUACAGGUCAGGUGUAGUGUUAUAUUGUCUACUAUAUACAGGUCAGGUGUAGUGUUGUAUUGUCUACUAUAUACAGGCCAGGUGUAGUGUUAUAUUGUCUACUAUAUACAGGCCAGGUGUAGUGUUAUAUUGUCUACUAUAUACAGGUCAGGUGUAGUGUUAUAUUGUCUACUAUAUACAGGUCAGGUGUAGUGUUAUAUUGUCUACUAUAUACAGGUCAGGUGUAGUGUUGUAUUGUCUACUAUAUACAGGCCAGGUGUAGUGUUAUAUUGUCUACUAUAUACAGGUCAGGUGUAGUGUUAUAUUGUCUACUAUAUACAGGUCAGGUGUAGUGUUAUAUUGUCUACUAUAUACAGGUCAGGUGUAGUGUUGUAUUGUCUACUAUAUACAGGCCAGGUGUAGUGUUAUAUUGUCUACUAUAUACAGGUCAGGUGUAGUGUUAUAUUGUCUACUAUAUACAGGCCAGGUGUAGUGUUAUAUUGUCUACUAUAUACAGGCCAGGUGUAGUGUUAUAUUGUCUACUAUAUACAGGUCAGGUGUAGUGUUAUAUUGUCUACUAUAUACAGGCCAGGUGUAGUGUUGUAUUGUCUACUAUAUACAGGUCAGGUGUAGUGUUAUAUUGUCUACUAUAUACAGGCCAGGUGUAGUGUUAUAUUGUCUACUAUAUACAGGUCAGGUGUAGUGUUAUAUUGUCUACUAUAUACAGGUCAGGUGUAGUGUGUUGUA